This 115-nucleotide ribosomal RNA is filed under the name Danio rerio (zebrafish). Lineage: Eukaryota; Metazoa; Chordata; Actinopteri; Cypriniformes; Danionidae. The record is from RNAcentral.
GCUGGCAGCUAGCUCUCUGCAACUGGCACAUGGUCACCCCCUGAAGCUAAUCAGGGCUACACCCGGUCAGUAUCUGGGUGGGAGACCACAUGAGAAAGCUAGGUUGCUGCCAGAA